RNAcentral lists this ribosomal RNA (484 nucleotides) under uncultured bacterium. Its description in RNAcentral is "partial 16S ribosomal RNA". It matches the Rfam family "Bacterial small subunit ribosomal RNA", at positions 30 to 507 of the family's 1533-position model. The record is from RNAcentral.
AUUGAACGCUGGCGGCAGGCCUAACACAUGCAAGUCGAGCGGAUGAAGGGAGCUUGCUCCCGGAUUCAGCGGCGGACGGGUGAGUAAUGCCUAGGAAUCUGCCUGGUAGUGAGGGAUAACGUCCGGAAACGGGCGCUAAUACCGCAUACGUCCUGAGGGAGAAAGUGGGGGAUCUUCGGACCUCACGCUAUCAGAUGAGCCUAGGUCGGAUUAGCUAGUUGGUGGGGUAAAGGCCUACCAAGGCGACGAUCCGUAACUGGUCUGAGAGGAUGAUCAGUCACACUGGAACUGAGACACGGUCCAGACUCCUACGGGAGGCAGCAGUGGGGAAUAUUGGACAAUGGGCGAAAGCCUGAUCCAGCCAUGCCGCGUGUGUGAAGAAGGUCUUCGGAUUGUAAAGCACUUUAAGUUGGGAGGAAGGGCAGUAAGUUAAUACCUUGCUGUUUUGACGUUACCAACAGAAUAAGCACCGGCUAACUUCGUG